GAUGAACGCUGGCGGCGUGCCUAACACAUGCAAGUCGAACGAAGCACCUUACCGGAUUCUUCGGAUGAAAGUUUGGUGACUGAGUGGCGGACGGGUGAGUAACGCGUGGGUAACCUGCCCUGUACAGGGGGAUAACAGCUGGAAACGGCUGCUAAUACCGCAUAAGCGCACGAGGAGACAUCUCCUUGUGUGAAAAACUCCGGUGGUACAGGAUGGGCCCGCGUCUGAUUAGCUGGUUGGCAGGGUAACGGCCUACCAAGGCAACGAUCAGUAGCCGGUCUGAGAGGAUGAACGGCCACAUUGGAACUGAGACACGGUCCAAACUCCUACGGGAGGCAGCAGUGGGGAAUAUUGCACAAUGGGGGAAACCCUGAUGCAGCAACGCCGCGUGAGUGAAGAAGUAUUUCGGUAUGUAAAGCUCUAUCAGCAGGGAAGAUAAUGACGGUACCUGACUAAGAAGCUCCGGCUAAAUACGUGCCAGCAGCCGCGGUAAUACGUAUGGAGCAAGCGUUAUCCGGAUUUACUGGGUGUAAAGGGUGCGUAGGUGGCAGUGCAAGUCAGAUGUGAAAGGCCGGGGCUCAACCCCGGAGCUGCAUUUGAAACUGCUCGGCUAGAGUACAGGAGAGGCAGGCGGAAUUCCUAGUGUAGCGGUGAAAUGCGUAGAUAUUAGGAGGAACACCAGUGGCGAAGGCGGCCUGCUGGAC
This 704-nucleotide ribosomal RNA is filed under the name uncultured Lachnospiraceae bacterium. RNAcentral's name for it is "bacterial SSU rRNA". It matches the Rfam family "Bacterial small subunit ribosomal RNA", at positions 28 to 734 of the family's 1533-position model. Lineage: Bacteria; Bacillati; Bacillota; Clostridia; Lachnospirales; Lachnospiraceae. The record is from RNAcentral.